GACGAACGCUGGCGGCGUGCUUAACACAUGCAAGUCGAACGGAAAGGCCCUGCUUUUGUGGGGUGCUCGAGUGGCGAACGGGUGAGUAACACGUGAGUAACCUGCCCUUGACUUUGGGAUAACUUCAGGAAACUGGGGCUAAUACCGGAUAGGAGCUCCUGCUGCAUGGUGAGGGUUGGAAAGUUUCGGCGGUUGGGGAUGGACUCGCGGCUUAUCAGCUUGUUGGUGGGGUAGUGGCUUACCAAGGCUUUGACGGGUAGCCGGCCUGAGAGGGUGACCGGCCACAUUGGGACUGAGAUACGGCCCAGACUCCUACGGGAGGCAGCAGUGGGGAAUAUUGCACAAUGGGCGGAAGCCUGAUGCAGCAACGCCGCGUGCGGGAUGAAGGCCUUCGGGUUGUAAACCGCUUUCGCCUGUGACGAAGCGUGAGUGACGGUAAUGGGUAAAGAAGCACCGGCUAACUACGUG
This 468-nucleotide ribosomal RNA is filed under the name uncultured bacterium. RNAcentral's name for it is "partial 16S ribosomal RNA". It matches the Rfam family "Bacterial small subunit ribosomal RNA", at positions 28 to 507 of the family's 1533-position model. The record is from RNAcentral.